AUAUAGAAGUGUAAAAACACAAUUGGGUUGGUAGUCCCAAUGCAGUUUUAAAACUGUCAGUAACCUUCCUCCUCGGGUCGUCCGUCAUUUCUAAUAAAACU
This is a non-coding RNA of Staphylococcus aureus RF122, 101 nucleotides long. NCBI's taxonomy places the organism in Bacteria, Bacillati, Bacillota, Bacilli, Caryophanales, Staphylococcaceae. The record is from Rfam.